GCUACACAUGCAGUCGAGCGGUAACAGGAGAAGCUUGCUUCUCGCUGACGAGCGGCGGACGGGUGAGUAAUACUUAGGAAUCUACCUAGUAGUGGGGGAUAGCACGGGGAAACUCGUAUUAAUACCGCAUACGACCUACGGGAGAAAGGGGGCAGUUUACUGCUCUCGCUAUUAGAUGAGCCUAAGUCGGAUUAGCUAGAUGGUGGGGUAAAGGCCUACCAUGGCGACGAUCUGUAGCUGGUCUGAGAGGAUGAUCAGCCACACCGGGACUGAGACACGGCCCGGACUCCUACGGGAGGCAGCAGUGGGGAAUAUUGGACAAUGGGGGAAACCCUGAUCCAGCCAUGCCGCGUGUGUGAAGAAGGCCUUUUGGUUGUAAAGCACUUUAAGCAGUGAAGAAGACUCCAUGGUUAAUACCCAUGGACGAUGACAUUAGCUGCAGAAUAAGCACCGGCUAACUCUGUGCCAGCAGCCGCGGUAAUACAGAGGGUGCAAGCGUUAAUCGGAAUUACUGGGCGUAAAGGGAGCGUAGGUGGCUCUAUA
RNAcentral lists this ribosomal RNA (543 nucleotides) under bacterium fme09x28p138. RNAcentral's name for it is "bacterial SSU rRNA". It matches the Rfam family "Bacterial small subunit ribosomal RNA", at positions 48 to 585 of the family's 1533-position model. The record is from RNAcentral.